This 485-nucleotide ribosomal RNA is filed under the name uncultured bacterium. Its description in RNAcentral is "bacterial SSU rRNA". It matches the Rfam family "Bacterial small subunit ribosomal RNA", at positions 28 to 507 of the family's 1533-position model. The record is from RNAcentral.
GAUGAACGCUAGCUACAGGCUUAACACAUGCAAGUCGAGGGGUUUCGAGGGAGCUUGCUUCCGAGAGACGACCGGCGCACGGGUGAGUAACGCGUAUCCAACCUGCCCUUCAUAUUGGGAUAGCCUCUCGAAAGGGAGAUUAAUACCGAAUAACAUAGUUUAGUUGCCUGACCAGACUAUGAAAGCUCCGGCGAUGAAGGAUGGGGAUGCGUUCCAUUAGGUAGUAGGCGGGGUAACGGCCCACCUAGCCAACGAUGGAUAGGGGUUCUGAGAGGAAGGUCCCCCACACUGGAACUGAGACACGGUCCAGACUCCUACGGGAGGCAGCAGUGAGGAAUAUUGGUCAAUGGGCGCAAGCCUGAACCAGCCAAGUAGCGUGAAGGAUGACCGCCCUAUGGGUUGUAAACUUCUUUUAUACGCGAACAACCGCAGGUACGUGUACCUGUCUGCGUGUAGCGUAUGAAUAAGCAUCGGCUAACUCCGUG